GGAUCCGUGGCGCAACGGUAGCGCGUCUGACUCCGGAUCAGAAGGUUGUGUGUUUGCUUCACGUCGGGUUCA
This is a transfer RNA of Ipomoea nil (Japanese morning glory), 72 nucleotides long. It matches the Rfam family "tRNA". From Rfam's summary of the family: Transfer RNA (tRNA) molecules are approximately 80 nucleotides in length. Their secondary structure includes four short double-helical elements and three loops (D, anti-codon, and T loops). The record is from Rfam. Lineage: Eukaryota; Viridiplantae; Streptophyta; Magnoliopsida; Solanales; Convolvulaceae.